UACGUAGGGUGCAAACGUUGUUCGGAAUUACUGGGCGUAAAGGGCGCGUAGGCGGCCUGUUAAGUCGAACGUGAAAUCCCCGGGCUCAACCCGGGAACUGCGUCCGAUACUGGCAGGCUUGAAUUCGGGAGAGGGAUGUGGAAUUCCAGGUGUAGCGGUGAAAUGCGUAGAUAUCUGGAGGAACACCGGUGGCGAAGGCGGCAUCCUGGACCGAUAUUGACGCUGAUGCGCGAAAGCCAGGGGAGCAAACGGG
Molecule: ribosomal RNA, 253 nt
Filed under: uncultured bacterium
Lineage: Bacteria
Description: partial 16S ribosomal RNA
Rfam family: Bacterial small subunit ribosomal RNA
Source: RNAcentral